GGUAGCACAAGCAGUUGAAAUUGAAUAAUUUGCACCCAUAAAACCGAUAUCCAUAGCAAGCAAGGCAGAUCCCAUGUUUGUAAUCGCAUAUGGGAUAAAGAAGGGGGUUAUUUUUCUGUACCCUUUCUCUAUAAGAGCCUGAACACCAUCAGAAAACACCGUGAGUCCACCCAUGCCUGUUCCCACAAGGACACCAGCCCUCACCUUGUCAAUCUUGCUGUGCCCUUCCGACCCGAC
RNAcentral lists this unclassified non-coding RNA (237 nucleotides) under Hevea brasiliensis (rubber tree). Lineage: Eukaryota; Viridiplantae; Streptophyta; Magnoliopsida; Malpighiales; Euphorbiaceae. The record is from RNAcentral.